GACGAACGCUGGCGGCGUGCUUAACACAUGCAAGUCGAGCGGAAAGGCCCUUCGGGGUACUCGAGCGGCGAACGGGUGAGUAACACGUGAGUAAUCUGCCCUUGGCUUUGGGAUAACUACCGGAAACGGUGGCUAAUACCGGAUACGACAACCGUCUGCAUGGGCUGGUUGUGGAAAGUUUUUUCGGCCAGGGAUGUGCUCGCGGCCUAUCAGCUUGUUGGUGGGGUAAUGGCCUACCAAGGCUUCGACGGGUAGCCGGCCUGAGAGGGUGACCGGCCACACUGGGACUGAGACACGGCAGACUCCUACGGGAGGCAGCAGUGGGGAAUAUUGGACAAUGGGCGGAAGCCUGAUCCAGCAACGCCGCGUGAGGGAUGACGGCCUUCGGGUUGUAAACCUCUUUCAGUACCGACGAAGCGCCGAUGAUGGUGGUGACGGUAGGUACAGAAGAAGCACCGGCCAACUACGUG
This 470-nucleotide ribosomal RNA is filed under the name uncultured bacterium. RNAcentral's name for it is "partial 16S ribosomal RNA". It matches the Rfam family "Bacterial small subunit ribosomal RNA", at positions 28 to 507 of the family's 1533-position model. The record is from RNAcentral.